RNAcentral lists this ribosomal RNA (255 nucleotides) under uncultured prokaryote. RNAcentral's name for it is "partial 16S ribosomal RNA". It matches the Rfam family "Bacterial small subunit ribosomal RNA", at positions 524 to 776 of the family's 1533-position model. The record is from RNAcentral.
UACGAGAGGAACAAGCGUUAUCCAGAAUGAUUGGGCGUAAAGCGUUGGUAGGUUGAUAUUACAGUUAUAAGCGAAAAUUUAGUUGCAAAAUUAAAAAUGUUUUUAAUACUUAAAUAUCUUGAGUGUAAGAAAGGAUAAUAGAACUUUAUAUAUAGGGGUGAAAUCCAACAAUCUAUAAAGGAAUGCCGGAGGCGAAAGCGAUUAUCUUGCUUAAUAUACUGACGCUGAGCAACGAAAGCAUAGGGAGCAAACGGG